CCCUUAGAUGUUCUGGGCCGCACGCGCGCUACACUGAUGCAUUCAACGAGCCUAUCCUUGACCGACAGGUCCGGGUAAUCUUUGAAUCUGCAUCGUGACGGGGAUAGAUUAUUGCAAUUAUUAAUCUUCAACGAGGAAUGCCUAGUAGGCGCAAGUCACCAGCUCGCAUUGAUUACGUCCCUGCCCUUUGUACACACCGCCCGUCGCACCUACCGAUUGAAUGGUCCGGUGAAAUCUUCGGACCGGGCGAUAGUCAGCAAUGACCGUUGCCUGGAAAGUUGCUUAAACCUUACCAUUUAGAGGAAGGUGAAGUCGUAACA
This 320-nucleotide ribosomal RNA is filed under the name uncultured eukaryote. Its description in RNAcentral is "partial 18S ribosomal RNA". It matches the Rfam family "Eukaryotic small subunit ribosomal RNA", at positions 1470 to 1796 of the family's 1831-position model. The record is from RNAcentral.